AUCAAAUGAAAAACAAGUGAAACUGCGAGCUACUGCUCACUGAUGAUACCCCCGCCGCAAGUGGAUAAUAUUAAUAGUGUAAAAAUAUGCAAGUGUUCGGUAAACAGGAAGUUGUCGAGUGAUGAAUCUGAAAACGCAUCACACGGUAUAGCUGACUUAUAAAAAUCCUGAAACCAAAUUUCAGAAAUCCUUGUAUUGUAGUUCCUGAGAAAAAUGUGACGAAAUUUUUUAACUUGGUUAUCAUGUGUAAAAUCAUACAAGUGUUCGGUAAACAGGAAGUUGUCGAGUGAUGAAUCUGAAAACGCAUCACGAGGUAUAGCUGACUUAUAUAAAUCCUGAAACCAAAUUUCAGAAAUCCUUGUAUUGUAGUUCCUGAGAAAAAUGUGACGAAAAUUUUCAACUUGGUUAUCAUGUGUAAAAUCAUACAAGUGUUCGGUAAACAGAAAGUUGUCGAGUGAUG
This 460-nucleotide long non-coding RNA is filed under the name Mytilus galloprovincialis (Mediterranean mussel). Lineage: Eukaryota; Metazoa; Mollusca; Bivalvia; Mytilida; Mytilidae. The record is from RNAcentral.